RNAcentral lists this ribosomal RNA (253 nucleotides) under uncultured bacterium. RNAcentral's name for it is "partial 16S ribosomal RNA". It matches the Rfam family "Bacterial small subunit ribosomal RNA", at positions 524 to 776 of the family's 1533-position model. The record is from RNAcentral.
UACAGAGGUCCCAAGCGUUGUUCGGAUUCAUUGGGCGUAAAGGGUGCGUAGGCGGCGCGGUAAGUCGGGUGUGAAAUCUCGGGGCUUAACUCCGAAACUGCAUUCGAUACUGCCGUGCUUGAGGACUGGAGGGGAGACUGGAAUUUACGGUGUAGCGGUGAAAUGCGUAGAUAUCGUAAGGAAGACCAGUGGCGAAGGCGGGUCUCUGGACAGUUCCUGACGCUGAGGCACGAAGGUCAGGGGAGCAAACGGG